Molecule: transfer RNA, 73 nt
Filed under: Bos taurus (domestic cattle)
Lineage: Eukaryota; Metazoa; Chordata; Mammalia; Artiodactyla; Bovidae
Also listed under: 2 other names
Rfam family: tRNA
About the family: Transfer RNA (tRNA) molecules are approximately 80 nucleotides in length. Their secondary structure includes four short double-helical elements and three loops (D, anti-codon, and T loops). Further hydrogen bonds mediate the characteristic L-shaped molecular structure. tRNAs have two regions of fundamental functional importance: the anti-codon, which is responsible for specific mRNA codon recognition, and the 3' end, to which the tRNAs corresponding amino acid is attached (by aminoacyl-tRNA synthetases). tRNAs cope with the degeneracy of the genetic code in two manners: having more than one tRNA (with a specific anti-codon) for a particular amino acid; and 'wobble' base-pairing, i.e. permitting non-standard base-pairing at the 3rd anti-codon position.
Source: Rfam by way of RNAcentral
UCCCUGGUGGCCCAGUGGUUAAGACUUCUCACUCCCAAUGCAGGAGACCUGGGUUCAAUCCCUAGUCAGGGAA